GUGGGUGGAGCUCUUGGGUUAACUCAACAUGUUCCGUCACAUGUGGAAAUGGUAUUUUAUCCAGAAAACGAACUUGUGACAGCCCAAUACCUUCCGUCGGUGGAAAAAAUUGUGAAGGGUCUAAUGAAGAAUCAGUAGAAUGCAGCUUAACUAAUUGUCAAGAAUUAUGUAAGGAAUCUGGAAAGAAAUCAGAAUCAAAGAGAUUGAAAGCAAGAAAAUGGAAAAGAUAUUUGUAUAGACAACUGAAUAGAAGAGGAGCUACACGCAAUCACUAACGUGUACUUUUUGCCUUGUUACUAAGGGAAGAUGCAGGACAAUGGAACUACUGUUUCUCAAAUGAAUUAAGAGGGAUUUUGUCUAA
Mytilus trossulus (common blue mussel) is the source of this 361-nucleotide long non-coding RNA. RefSeq lists it as uncharacterized. The record is from RefSeq and is a predicted model, not a curated record. The transcript is spliced from 3 exons. NCBI's taxonomy places the organism in Eukaryota, Metazoa, Mollusca, Bivalvia, Mytilida, Mytilidae.